AAGAAUCCAGUAGCGGCGGGAUCUUGCUCGUCGAGGAAGAGAUCGUCGGGAACUCUAAAUGCGCCGUGAGCGCAAACGAUGGCCGCACCGACCAUGAGAGCGGAGAUGAGAACGGAUCCGACGCUGGUGAGGAAAAUGACGACGACGCUGAGGACAACGAGGAUGCCAAGGGUCUCGCGGUCGGAGAAAGUGCGGCCGAAGAGGACGAGAGGAGGAUCGGAGGGGCGGAAGAGGUAGAGGAAGAGCCAGGCGGCGAGGAGAGAAAGGAGGAGGAGGAGAGAGAAAGGGUUGGUGAGGAGAGAGAAGGCAAGGGUAAGGGCGAUGAGGGAGAGGUAGUUGACGCGGAAGUAGGUGUAGUUCUUGCGUACGCGAAGGGCGGCCUCGGAGAAGGACUCGGGGCGGGAGAAAGCGUUGCGGUCGACGAGCUCGGACCAGGGGCGGCGCUGAGCGAAGCCGUUGCGGACGGAAUCGGUGAUGUGGGUGAUAAAUAAGCGGACAGCGGGUGUGGCGACCGGAGGCUGCGAUUGAACGGAUGUGGCGGUGGUUUCUGGGUUGGAAAUGG
This 562-nucleotide long non-coding RNA is filed under the name Vitis vinifera (wine grape). Its description in RNAcentral is "long non-coding RNA (VVIN_LNC002476)". Lineage: Eukaryota; Viridiplantae; Streptophyta; Magnoliopsida; Vitales; Vitaceae. The record is from RNAcentral.